This 311-nucleotide long non-coding RNA is filed under the name Linum usitatissimum (flax). Its description in RNAcentral is "long non-coding RNA (LUSI_LNC001004)". Lineage: Eukaryota; Viridiplantae; Streptophyta; Magnoliopsida; Malpighiales; Linaceae. The record is from RNAcentral.
GGAUAUCGUUUAUUUCGGUCAGCACGAUCAUCCCAAGCCGCAAUCCAACAUUCCACUGACAGUAGGUUUUGUUUUGUCAGUUGAAGAAAGGGCAGAUCAAUGCCCUUUGUCGCCUGUUGAGAAAGGUAUAUGAUAGUUUUUACUUAUCAAUUUCCUGCUAAAAUAUUAUGCCUUGAUGAUAUCGUGAUAUUUUCUUGCAACAAAUUUCAUAAUGUAGCAGGCAGCAAGGUACGGCCUCCAAUCAAUUCCGUGAAUGCAUCGCAGAUGUCAACAGUAACAUCCAGUGAGGAUGUGAAAGCUGUGCCACCUGA